Molecule: ribosomal RNA, 2925 nt
Filed under: Escherichia coli
Lineage: Bacteria; Pseudomonadati; Pseudomonadota; Gammaproteobacteria; Enterobacterales; Enterobacteriaceae
Description: 23S ribosomal RNA
Rfam family: Bacterial large subunit ribosomal RNA
Source: RNAcentral
GGGUUGUGAGGUUAAGCGACUAAGCGUACACGGUGGAUGCCCUGGCAGUCAGAGGCGAUGAAGGACGUGCUAAUCUGCGAUAAGCGUCGGUGAGGUGAUAUGAACCGUUAUAACCGGCGAUUUCCGAAUGGGGAAACCCAGUGUGUUUCGACACACUAUCAUUAACUGAAUCCAUAGGUUAAUGAGGCGAACCGGGGGAACUGAAACAUCUAAGUACCCCGAGGAAAAGAAAUCAACCGAGAUUCCCCCAGUAGCGGCGAGCGAACGGGGAGGAGCCCAGAGCCUGAAUCAGUGUGUGUGUUAGUGGAAGCGUCUGGAAAGGCGUGCGAUACAGGGUGACAGCCCCGUACACAAAAAUGCACAUAUUGUGAGCUCGAUGAGUAGGGCGGGACACGUGGUAUCCUGUCUGAAUAUGGGGGGACCAUCCUCCAAGGCUAAAUACUCCUGACUGACCGAUAGUGAACCAGUACCGUGAGGGAAAGGCGAAAAGAACCCCGGCGAGGGGAGUGAAAAAGAACCUGAAACCGUGUACGUACAAGCAGUGGGAGCCUCUUAAUGAGGUGACUGCGUACCUUUUGUAUAAUGGGUCAGCGACUUAUAUUCUGUAGCAAGGUUAACCGAAUAGGGGAGCCGAAGGGAAACCGAGUCUUAACUGGGCGUUAAGUUGCAGGGUAUAGACCCGAAACCCGGUGAUCUAGCCAUGGGCAGGUUGAAGGUUGGGUAACACUAACUGGAGGACCGAACCGACUAAUGUUGAAAAAUUAGCGGAUGACUUGUGGCUGGGGGUGAAAGGCCAAUCAAACCGGGAGAUAGCUGGUUCUCCCCGAAAGCUAUUUAGGUAGCGCCUCGUGAAUUCAUCUCCGGGGGUAGAGCACUGUUUCGGCAAGGGGGUCAUCCCGACUUACCAACCCGAUGCAAACUGCGAAUACCGGAGAAUGUUAUCACGGGAGACACACGGCGGGUGCUAACGUCCGUCGUGAAGAGGGAAACAACCCAGACCGCCAGCUAAGGUCCCAAAGUCAUGGUUAAGUGGGAAACGAUGUGGGAAGGCCCAGACAGCCAGGAUGUUGGCUUAGAAGCAGCCAUCAUUUAAAGAAAGCGUAAUAGCUCACUGGUCGAGUCGGCCUGCGCGGAAGAUGUAACGGGGCUAAACCAUGCACCGAAGCUGCGGCAGCGACACUAUGUGUUGUUGGGUAGGGGAGCGUUCUGUAAGCCUGUGAAGGUGGCCUGUGAGGGUUGCUGGAGGUAUCAGAAGUGCGAAUGCUGACAUAAGUAACGAUAAAGCGGGUGAAAAGCCCGCUCGCCGGAAGACCAAGGGUUCCUGUCCAACGUUAAUCGGGGCAGGGUGAGUCGACCCCUAAGGCGAGGCCGAAAGGCGUAGUCGAUGGGAAACAGGUUAAUAUUCCUGUACUUGGUGUUACUGCGAAGGGGGGACGGAGAAGGCUAUGUUGGCCGGGCGACGGUUGUCCCGGUUUAAGCGUGUAGGCUGGUUUUCCAGGCAAAUCCGGAAAACCAAGGCUGAGGCGUGAUGACGAGGCACUACGGUGCUGAAGCGACAAAUGCCCUGCUUCCAGGAAAAGCCUCUAAGCAUCAGGUAACAUCAAAUCGUACCCCAAACCGACACAGGUGGUCAGGUAGAGAAUACCAAGGCGCUUGAGAGAACUCGGGUGAAGGAACUAGGCAAAAUGGUGCCGUAACUUCGGGAGAAGGCACGCUGAUAUGUAGGUGAAGCGACUUGCUCGUGGAGCUGAAAUCAGUCGAAGAUACCAGCUGGCUGCAACUGUUUAUUAAAAACACAGCACUGUGCAAACACGAAAGUGGACGUAUACGGUGUGACGCCUGCCCGGUGCCGGAAGGUUAAUUGAUGGGGUUAGCGGCAACGCGAAGCUCUUGAUCGAAGCCCCGGUAAACGGCGGCCGUAACUAUAACGGUCCUAAGGUAGCGAAAUUCCUUGUCGGGUAAGUUCCGACCUGCACGAAUGGCGUAAUGAUGGCCAGGCUGUCUCCACCCGAGACUCAGUGAAAUUGAACUCGCUGUGAAGAUGCAGUGUACCCGCGGCAAGACGGAAAGACCCCGUGAACCUUUACUAUAGCUUGACACUGAACAUUGAGCCUUGAUGUGUAGGAUAGGUGGGAGGCUUUGAAGUGUGGACGCCAGUCUGCAUGGAGCCGACCUUGAAAUACCACCCUUUAAUGUUUGAUGUUCUAACGUUGGCCCGUAAUCCGGGUUGCGGACAGUGUCUGGUGGGUAGUUUGACUGGGGCGGUCUCCUCCUAAAGAGUAACGGAGGAGCACGAAGGUUGGCUAAUCCUGGUCGGACAUCAGGAGGUUAGUGCAAUGGCAUAAGCCAGCUUGACUGCGAGCGUGACGGCGCGAGCAGGUGCGAAAGCAGGUCAUAGUGAUCCGGUGGUUCUGAAUGGAAAGGCCAUCGCUCAACGGAUAAAAGGUACUCCGGGGAUAACAGGCUGAUACCGCCCAAGAGUUCAUAUCGACGGCGGUGUUUGGCACCUCGAUGUCGGCUCAUCACAUCCUGGGGCUGAAGUAGGUCCCAAGGGUAUGGCUGUUCGCCAUUUAAAGUGGUACGCGAGCUGGGUUUAGAACGUCGUGAGACAGUUCGGUCCCUAUCUGCCGUGGGCGCUGGAGAACUGAGGGGGGCUGCUCCUAGUACGAGAGGACCGGAGUGGACGCAUCACUGGUGUUCGGGUUGUCAUGCCAAUGGCACUGCCCGGUAGCUAAAUGCGGAAGAGAUAAGUGCUGAAAGCAUCUAAGCACGAAACUUGCCCCGAGAUGAGUUCUCCCUGACUCCUUGAGAGUCCUGAAGGAACGUUGAAGACGACGACGUUGAUAGGCCGGGUGUGUAAGCGCAGCGAUGCGUUGAGCUAACCGGUACUAAUGAACCGUGAGGCUUAACCUUACAACGCCGAAG